GACGAGGUGGCAGAGCCGUUAAGGUGAUGGCCUGCUAAUCCAUUGUGCUGUGCACACAUGGGUUCGAAUCCCAUCCUCGUCG
Non-coding RNA from Sphaeramia orbicularis (orbiculate cardinalfish), 82 nucleotides. NCBI's taxonomy places the organism in Eukaryota, Metazoa, Chordata, Actinopteri, Kurtiformes, Apogonidae. The record is from the annotation of a RefSeq genome assembly.